CUGGUAGUUUUAUUAAGCGAGAUCCUGCAUCUUCCCUCCUCGCCUCGGAGGGGUGCGAAGCGCCAGCGAGCCCAAGGUCUCCCUGGCGAGCAUGGCAGGAAUGGAGGGAUCCCGCCAGGGCGCCUCGGCGUACCUCGGGGCCUCCACGGAGGUGCCGGAGAUCUGCCGGCUACAAGCCCGGGCAGGUGCGGCUGGUUAGCCGUGGAAGGCAAUUCACCUAGGAGAGCAAACUCCGAACAACAAACCCGGGCAGGUGGGGCUCGUUAGCCGUGGUAGGCAGUCUGCCUAGGAGAGCAAACUCCGAACAACAAACCCGGGCAGGUGGGGCUCGUUAGCCGUGGUAGGCAGUCUGCCUAGGAGAGCAAACUCCGAACAACAAACCCGGGCAGGUGGGGCUCGUUAGCCGUGGUAGGCAGUCUGUCUAGGAGAGCAAACUCCGAACAACAAACCCGGGCAGGUGGGGCUCGUUAGCUGUGGUAGGCAGUCUGCCUAGGAGAGCAAACUCCGAACAACAAACCCGGGCAGAUGGGGCUUGUUAAAUGUCGUAGACAAUCCACUCAGUGGGAACAUCAGUGAAAGGAGAUUAAAAAGGAACACCAGAAAAACGAAACAUGAAGAAAAGAAGAUAUAAGAAACAGAUCAUCCACCUUUCGGCCCUAACUAACAUCACAAAAAUUAUGGGUGGGUCUUUUCUGGGGAGAAAGAGGCUCAUCCAGACCAAAGAACAUCAGAACGGAUGAUACAGAAAAGAUAAAACAUCAAGAAAAGAGACACACGGGCAGGUGGAGCUCGUCAGCCGUGGCAGGCAGUUCAUCUAGGAGAGGGACAACUCCGAACAAUAAACACAGGCAGGUGGAGCUCGUCAGCCGUGGCAGGCAGUUCAUCUAGGAGAGGGACAACUCCGUACAAUAAACACGGGCAGGCGUUGCUCGUCAGCCGUGGCAGGCAGUUCAUCUAGGAGAGGGACAACUCCGAACAAUAAACACGGGCAGGUGGAGCUCGUUAGAUGUCGUAGACAUCCACGUGAUGGGAACAUCAAAAUGAAAAGGAGAAUGAAAAAGAACACCAGAAUAAAGAAAACGAAGAAACGAAACAUCAAGAAAACAAAAUAAGAAACAGAUCAUCCACCUUUCGGCCCUAACUAACUUCACCAAAAUUAUGGGUGGGUCUUUUCUGGGGAGAAAAAGGCUCAGCCAGACCAAAGAACAUCAGAAUGGAUGAUACAGAAAAGAUGAAAGAACAACAACAGGAAAAGAAUUAAUAGAAACAAACAUCAUCCACCUUUCGGCCCCAAGUAACAUCACAAAAUUAUGGGUGGGUCUUUUCUGGGGAGAAAAAGGCUCAGCCAGCCCAAAGAACAUCAAAAGGGAUGAUACAGGAAAGAUAAAAGACCAACAUCAAGAAAAGAAGAAAAAAACAUCACCGCCUUUCGGCCACAAGUAACAUCACACAAUUAUGGGUGGGUCUCUUCUGGGAGGAAAGCGGCUCACCCAGACCAACGAACAUCAACAAAAGGAUGAUAUAGAAAACAACAAGAGCAAGAAAAUGAACAGAAUAACAUCGAAAAUUAAAACAAAACAUCAAGGAAAGAAAAUUAUUAGAAACAUCAUCCACCUUUCGGCCCUCAGCAACAUCACCAAAAUUAUGGGUGGGUCUCUUCUGGGAGGAAAGCGGCUCACCCAGACCAACGAACAUCAACAAAAGGAUGACAGGAAAAGAAAGAAAAGGAAAAAGAAAAAGAAGAGAGAGAAAAGAAAGAAUAA
Molecule: long non-coding RNA, 1763 nt
Organism: Eriocheir sinensis (Chinese mitten crab)
Lineage: Eukaryota; Metazoa; Arthropoda; Malacostraca; Decapoda; Varunidae
Exons: 3
Source: RefSeq, a predicted model, not a curated record